Molecule: non-coding RNA, 48 nt
Organism: Schistosoma rodhaini
Lineage: Eukaryota; Metazoa; Platyhelminthes; Trematoda; Strigeidida; Schistosomatidae
Source: Rfam
AUUCAUCUGACGAGUCCGAAAUAGGGCAAAACGUGCGUGAAACUGGAU